GGGUCCGUAGCGCAGUAUGGAUAGCGCGUCGGCCUUCGGAGCCGAAGGUCCCGGGUUCAAAUCCCGGCGGACCCG
This is a transfer RNA of 75 nucleotides. It matches the Rfam family "tRNA". From Rfam's summary of the family: Transfer RNA (tRNA) molecules are approximately 80 nucleotides in length. Their secondary structure includes four short double-helical elements and three loops (D, anti-codon, and T loops). Further hydrogen bonds mediate the characteristic L-shaped molecular structure. tRNAs have two regions of fundamental functional importance: the anti-codon, which is responsible for specific mRNA codon recognition, and the 3' end, to which the tRNAs corresponding amino acid is attached (by aminoacyl-tRNA synthetases). tRNAs cope with the degeneracy of the genetic code in two manners: having more than one tRNA (with a specific anti-codon) for a particular amino acid; and 'wobble' base-pairing, i.e. permitting non-standard base-pairing at the 3rd anti-codon position.